CAAAGGGAUUACCGGUGGCGGAUGGGCAUGCGGCGCAUUAGCUAGUCGGCGGGGUAACGGCCCACCGAGGCGACGAUGCGUAGGGGUUCUGAGAGGAAGGUCCCCCACACUGGUACUGAGACACGGACCAGACUCCUACGGGAGGCACCAGUGAGGAAUAUUGGUCAAUGGGCGCGAGCCUGAACCAGCCAAGUCGCGUGAGGGAUGACGGUCCUAUGGAUUGUAAACCUCUUUUGCCGGGGAGCAAGCGUGCGUUCGUGAACGCGCGUCGAGAGUACCCGGAGAAAAAGCAUCGGCUAACUCCGUGCCAGCAGCCGCGGUAAUACGGAGGAUGCGAGCGUUAUCCGGAUUUAUUGGGUUUAAAGGGUGCGUAGGCGGGAUGCCAAGUCAGCGGUAAAAAUGCGGUGCUCAACGCCGUCGAGCCGUUGAAACUGGCGUUCUUGAGUGGGCGAGAAGUAUGCGGAAUGCGUGGUGUAGCGGUGAAAUGCAUAGAUAUCACGCAGAACUCCGAUUGCGAAGGCAGCAUACCGGCGCCCUACUGACGCUGAGGCACGAAAGCGUGGGUAUCGAACAGGAUUAGAUACCCUGGUAGUCCACGCAGUAAACGAUGAAUGCUAACUGUCCGGCUCGAAUGAGCGCUGG
RNAcentral lists this ribosomal RNA (642 nucleotides) under uncultured bacterium. RNAcentral describes it as "bacterial SSU rRNA". It matches the Rfam family "Bacterial small subunit ribosomal RNA", at positions 202 to 842 of the family's 1533-position model. The record is from RNAcentral.